AUACAAUUGAGAUUCUCCCAGAGGAUAUCCAGGCUCAAAGCAUCAGUCCACCAGCUGAACAAUCAGUCAGACUGGUGAAUGGGACCACUUCCUGUUCUGGGACAGUGGAAAUCUUCUCCAGAGGAGAGUGGUUAGGUCUAUGUCCUGCGUGGUGGAGCAUGAAAGAGACUAAGGUUGUGUGUAGAGAGCUGGGCUGUGGGAAUGUUGUAGCUGAAUCUAGAGGACUUCUGGUUGAAGAGGGAAGAGGAGGAGCCACACUAUUGGGUUGCAGUGGAGAUGCGUCUACUAUUAGAGAGUGUGACAUCAGUGGAGGAGGACCUGGUUUCUGUAAUGGUGUCACGAUCGUCUGAAGAAGCGGACC
Molecule: long non-coding RNA, 361 nt
Organism: Coregonus clupeaformis (lake whitefish)
Lineage: Eukaryota; Metazoa; Chordata; Actinopteri; Salmoniformes; Salmonidae
Exons: 3
Source: RefSeq, a predicted model, not a curated record